Molecule: long non-coding RNA, 538 nt
Organism: Cuculus canorus (common cuckoo)
Lineage: Eukaryota; Metazoa; Chordata; Aves; Cuculiformes; Cuculidae
Exons: 3
Source: RefSeq, a predicted model, not a curated record
UGAUGGCUGACGGGACACGGUCUGGAGGAAGCUGUCACCACACUGGUGAUGUGGGUUUUCAUACAGCAACGAGAGACCUUUUAGCGGUUCUCCCUGAGUUUCCAGCUGACUAAUAAGGAGUCUUUAGUUUUAUUUCAUGUCUGCAGGAGUGGAUCCGAAGUCUCUUCAAGGUGGAUGCCGCACUCCAGCUGAAAGAUUAAAUCAUAGAAUCAUAGAAUCAUGGAAUGGUUUGGACUGAAAGGGACCUUAAAGGCUACCCAAGUUCCAACAAGACUGCCAUGGGCAAGGACACCUCUCACUGGAUGAGGUUACUCAAAGCCUCAUCCAACCUGGCCCCAGUGCCUCACCACCCCCAAAGGAAAAUUUUCUUCCUAAUAUCUUAUCUAAAUCUCCCCUCUUUAGCUUAAAACCAUUCGCCCUCAACCUAUCACUACACUCCCUGAUCAACAGCCCCUCCCCAGUUUUUCCGGAGCCCCAUUCAGCACUGGAAGCUGCUGUAAUGUCUCUCCAGAGCCUUCUCUUCUCUAAGCUGUACAAC